This 501-nucleotide small RNA is filed under the name Malus domestica (apple). Its description in RNAcentral is "sRNA MD17G0107100". Lineage: Eukaryota; Viridiplantae; Streptophyta; Magnoliopsida; Rosales; Rosaceae. The record is from RNAcentral.
CCUCCCAAUAAUCUCCACAAAUGAAGAAAACUCUCCUAAUAAUCUCUCCAAAUUUAGCAAGAUUAUUAUAGCGCCAUGAGGUCCUUUGUCUGGCAUUAAAUCUUCAAGUGGAGUCUUGGAGUAGAGAAAUUGAGCCAUAUGCCAAUGACCAUACAAAUAAGCUAGCUCAAUUGGAAGCAUGUCGUGUCCAUCGGGAAUGCUGAGUAAUUCUUUGUUCUUUGGUACCAUGCAUUCAGCCAUUUUGGUAAUCCCUUUAAUUGCAGCAGUAGCAAGAGCUGUCCGAUGAUCUGUUGUUGCUUUUAUUCCCAAGUCGUCCACUUCCAUCAACCUCACCAAUUCUUUGACAAUAUCCACAUGCCCAGCCUCAACUGCAAUGUGAAGAGCUGUCUUCCCAGACGCUGGAUGUGUUACUCUUACUGCCUCCGGAUGUUUGAUGGGAAAGUCCUUUGUAGUUUCCCAACGACCAGCUUGCACAGCCUCAAAGAAAGGUUUACACUGACU